AAACACCAGGCUCGAAAGGUCGAGCCUUCCACCUUUUACCAAGUAUAUAGGUGCAUUAAAUUAACUAGCAUUAAUAUGGUGAUAUAUCAAGGAACCCAUGUUUUCACAUGGAAGCAACUACACCUGCAACUAGCAACGCUAACAACAUGGAUAAGCAAGCAGUAACAUAGCCAAUCAGUGGUUUGCUAGGUCGAACAGGUUGAAGGUUAUCAUGGUAUUGUUGAGAGGCUAAUAUUUCACAUGUGGUAGGCAACGAGACAUAAUCGAUAGAAGCGAUAAAACUAGCAUGGUAAUGAUAGUAAUGGUAUCUGGGGAAAUGAUCAUCUUGCUUGAGAUCCCGCUUGGAAGAAGAAUGACUUCGUGAAACAGACGAACUGAUGUAGUCGAACUGGUCCUCACAUCCGAC
This 406-nucleotide long non-coding RNA is filed under the name Hordeum vulgare. RNAcentral describes it as "long non-coding RNA (HVUL_LNC001163)". Lineage: Eukaryota; Viridiplantae; Streptophyta; Magnoliopsida; Poales; Poaceae. The record is from RNAcentral.